GUUCAGCAAAACAAGCUUAGACGGAACAGAGUGAGGUGUCUGGGCUCAGGAGUAAAAGAAACACCUUCCUUCCCUCACAUCCGUUUGUGGUUUGUUUAAGAAGAAGAGGAAAAAAAAAAAAAAGAGGGGGGAAAAGCGCUCAACUCUCCCCCAAGCCGCGGCGCGCACCCGUCGGCGCCGAGCGCGCAGCCUGCUCCACCGCCGCCUCUUGGUCCCGCCGCCGCCGCUGCCGCCGCCGCCGGGCAGAGGCCGGGGACCGGAGAAAGGAGGAGCGGAGAAGGAGAAGGAGGAGAGCACGGCCUGGCUGGGACAGAAGCGGUGGGACCCUGGGAGGCCUCCGCUGUGCCCGUGCCGCGCUCCUCGGGACCAGCGCGUCGCACACAAAGGGGCUGCCGAGCCAGAGCCACCAGCGGCCUCAGGGCACCGUGGGGAGCGCGCAGCUAGGGGGCGCUGUGGCGCACCCCGCCCCGCAGCCCCGCCCCCGGCCCUCCCCGGCCCCACCCCACUCCCACCGCCCUCUCCGCGGCCGUCCCCACCCCUAUCUCCGCGACCCCCACUCCUCCUCGGCUGUUCCCCAACCCUGUCACUGUGCUCCCCUCCCUACUCCCGGCCCGUAGUGGAGGUGACUUUCCUGCGCAGCGCCGCUUCUGAGGGCGGAGAACCCACAGGGAGUGCGACCCCUUUGCACGCUGUGAGUGGGCAACUGUCCGAGGGACUCGAGCCGAUCGAAGGCUGGACGCCCUAUAGGGCUCUUGGCAGUCCACGAAAGACCUGGAGUCCGCCUCCCCAUUUCUCCGGUCGGUGAGUGGCAGGAGGAAAUCGCCAAACAUGUUUUCCCGCUUUGCCUCCCCAACUCGGAAACUUGCAACUUGCCGUGUCCUGGAGGUUGAGACAAUUUGGGGUCUCUUGGCUGCCGUCCAACAGAUUUAUCUCUGAGGGCAGUGUCCUUGGUGAGAGGUCCAAGUAGGUGUGGGCGACAUUGUCCUCCAUCUCAUGAGGGAGCAGCCCUGCACACUAGGGCCCAAAACUCUGCGAAGGAGCUUGGAAGUUCUUCAUCCGUUCCACUUGUUUUGCUACUCCACACACCCUUCUAGGACAUGUUGAUUGCCAACUGCUCUGUGCAGCUUUCCCAUAGCUGUCUGUUCCCGUGCAUUUCGGAGCACCAAGCAAAUACGAGCAGAGAGACCUGGAAAAAAAAAUGAUGAAGACAGUAUUAAUGAUAAAAUUAACAUGGCUGAGUGAAUUGUCAAUGCAAGUUCCUUUACUAACUCUUUGUUAAGUUUUGCUUUGUACUCCUUACAUCCUCUUUCUCUUAAGCCAUUGUUUUAAUUUCUUCUCGUUAUCAUUUUUAAAAGUAACAGAAAUACAGCUUUCUUCCUACCUUCACGAUUGACUUGGUGGAGGUUGGGUUGCAAAGAGGAAGCAGUAAGAAAAAAUAAUUAUUCUAUACAUUCACAAGUCCUUCAAGGCACAAAAUAAAAGUAAGAAAUAGAAAAUAUGUCCUUUCUCCUAAUAAAGGUCUUUAUAAUAAAAUUUAAAUGAAGUUUUGUGUUUCAUAACAGCUUCCCAAAUACUGUUGUAGAUACUAAAAUGUGCCUGUAUGUAUUUCCUUCCACAAUAAUAAUAGUAAUAAUAAACUUUUUUAGGUCCAAAUUAAACAUUUCUCAGCUUAAAUUUCUAUCCUCAAUCCAACAUUUAUUAUAUCAAAACUUGAUUUUUAAAAAUAAAACUUUCUUGGAAUUC
RNAcentral lists this long non-coding RNA (1743 nucleotides) under Homo sapiens (human). RNAcentral's name for it is "PREDICTED lncRNA (TCONS_00250807)". The record is from RNAcentral. Lineage: Eukaryota; Metazoa; Chordata; Mammalia; Primates; Hominidae.